This 1373-nucleotide ribosomal RNA is filed under the name uncultured bacterium. Its description in RNAcentral is "bacterial SSU rRNA". It matches the Rfam family "Bacterial small subunit ribosomal RNA", at positions 28 to 1381 of the family's 1533-position model. The record is from RNAcentral.
GAUGAACGCUGGCGGCGUGCCUAAUACAUGCAGGUCGAGCGAACGGACGAGAAGCUUGCUUCUCUGAUGUUAGCGGCGGACGGGUGAGUAACACGUGGAUAACCUACCUAUAAGACUGGGAUAACUUCGGGAAACCGGAGCUAAUACCGGAUAAUAUUUUGAACCGCAUGGUUCAAAAGUGAAAGACGGUCUUGCUGUCACUUAUAGAUGGAUCCGCGCUGCAUUAGCUAGUUGGUAAGGUAACGGCUUACCAAGGCAACGAUGCAUAGCCGACCUGAGAGGGUGAUCGGCCACACUGAAACUGAGACACGGUCCAGACUCCUACGGGAGGCAGCAGUAGGGAAUCUUCCGCAAUGGGCGAAAGCCUGACGGAGCAACGCCGCGUGAGUGAUGAAGGUCUUCGGAUCGUAAAACUCUGUUAUUAGGGAAGAACAUAUGUGUAAGUAACUGUGCACAUCUUGACGGUACCUAAUCAGAAAGCCACGGCUAACUACGUGCCAGCAGCCGCGGUAAUACGUAGGUGGCAAGCGUUAUCCGGAAUUAUUGGGCGUAAAGCGCGCGUAGGCGGUUUUUUUAAGUCUGAUGUGAAAGCCCACGGCUCAACCGUGGAGGGUCAUUGGAAACUGGAAAACUUGAGUGCAGAAGAGGAAAGUGGAAUUCCAUGUGUAGCGGUGAAAUGCGCAGAGAUAUGGAGGAACACCAGUGGCGAAGGCGACUUUCUGGUCUGUAACUGACGCUGAUGUGCGAAAGCGUGGGGAUCAAACAGGAUUAGAUACCCUGGUAGUCCACGCCGUAAACGAUGAGUGCUAAGUGUUAGGGGGUUUCCGCCCCUUAGUGCUGCAGCUAACGCAUUAAGCACUCCGCCUGGGGAGUACGACCGCAAGGUUGAAACUCAAAGGAAUUGACGGGGACCCGCACAAGCGGUGGAGCAUGUGGUUUAAUUCGAAGCAACGCGAAGAACCUUACCAAAUCUUGACAUCCUUUGACAACUCUAGAGAUAGAGCCUUCCCCUUCGGGGGACAAAGUGACAGGUGGUGCAUGGUUGUCGUCAGCUCGUGUCGUGAGAUGUUGGGUUAAGUCCCGCAACGAGCGCAACCCUUAAGCUUAGUUGCCAUCAUUAAGUUGGGCACUCUAAGUUGACUGCCGGUGACAAACCGGAGGAAGGUGGGGAUGACGUCAAAUCAUCAUGCCCCUUAUGAUUUGGGCUACACACGUGCUACAAUGGACAAUACAAAGGGCAGCGAAACCGCGAGGUCAAGCAAAUCCCAUAAAGUUGUUCUCAGUUCGGAUUGUAGUCUGCAACUCGACUACAUGAAGCUGGAAUCGCUAGUAAUCGUAGAUCAGCAUGCUACGGUGAAUACGUUCCCGGGUCU